AACGGCCAUAUCACGUUGAAACAUUGGUUUUCGUUCGAUCACCGAAGUUAAGCAGCGUCGAGUCUGGUCAGUACCUAGAUGGGUAACUACUUGAGAAUACCGGCUGC
Acanthosepion pharaonis is the source of this 107-nucleotide non-coding RNA. The record is from the annotation of a GenBank genome assembly. Lineage: Eukaryota; Metazoa; Mollusca; Cephalopoda; Sepiida; Sepiidae.